RNAcentral lists this transfer RNA (67 nucleotides) under Pseudocleopatra dartevellei. RNAcentral describes it as "tRNA-Asn". The record is from RNAcentral. Lineage: Eukaryota; Metazoa; Mollusca; Gastropoda; Paludomidae.
UAAAUGAAAGCCAAAACAGCGGCGCCUAACUGUUAACUAGAAAAUUGUAACUAUAUUACUCAUUUAG